UACGUAGGUGGCGAGCGUUGUCCGGAUUUACUGGGCGUAAAGAGCGCGCAGGCGGCUGGUCAAGUCCGAUGUGAAAGCUCCCGGCUUAACUGGGAAAUUGCAUCGGAAACUGAUCGGCUGGAAGGUGGGAGAGGGUAGCGGAAUUCCCGGUGUAGUGGUGAAAUGCGUAGAGAUCCGGAGGAACACCGACGGCGCAGGCAGCGUCCUGGCCGCUUGCUGACACUGAGGCACGAAAGCUGGGGGAGCAAACAGG
RNAcentral lists this ribosomal RNA (253 nucleotides) under uncultured bacterium. RNAcentral's name for it is "partial 16S ribosomal RNA". It matches the Rfam family "Bacterial small subunit ribosomal RNA", at positions 524 to 776 of the family's 1533-position model. The record is from RNAcentral.